AUUGAACGCUGGCGGAAUGCUUUACACAUGCAAGUCGAACGGCAGCAUAGGUGCUUGCACCUGAUGGCGAGUGGCGAACGGGUGAGUAAUACAUCGGAACGUGCCCAGUCGUGGGGGAUAACGUAGCGAAAGUUACGCUAAUACCGCAUCCGAUCUAAGGAUGAAAGCGGGGGACCGUAAGGCCUCGCGCGAUUGGAGCGGCCGAUGUCAGAUUAGGUAGUUGGUGAGGUAAAGGCUCACCAAGCCGACGAUCUGUAGCUGGUCUGAGAGGACGACCAGCCACACUGGGACUGAGACACGGCCCAGACUCCUACGGGAGGCAGCAGUGGGGAAUUUUGGACAAUGGACGCAAGUCUGAUCCAGCCAUUCCGCGUGCAGGACGAAGGCCUUCGGGUUGUAAACUGCUUUUGUACGGAACGAAAAAGCUCUUACUAAUACUAGGAGUCCAUGACGGUACCGUAAGAAUAAGCACCGGCUAACUACGUGCCAGCCGCCGCUGUAA
Molecule: ribosomal RNA, 502 nt
Filed under: uncultured bacterium
Lineage: Bacteria
Description: partial 16S ribosomal RNA
Rfam family: Bacterial small subunit ribosomal RNA
Source: RNAcentral